Molecule: long non-coding RNA, 1049 nt
Organism: Lathyrus oleraceus (garden pea)
Lineage: Eukaryota; Viridiplantae; Streptophyta; Magnoliopsida; Fabales; Fabaceae
Exons: 4
Source: RefSeq, a predicted model, not a curated record
UGAACAUGCUAGGGCCCAAACUCAAAUAUCGCGCUGCAGGAAUGAUAUUUUGAAUCUCCAACAUCUUCAACAUGGCGCUUCGUUAUCUUCUUCAUCAACAUUUGAAUCUUCAUCGCCGACAUCCGCACCUUCAUCACCAGCAUCCGCCAUCAUUACGCCGUCCUCGAAGCUCGUCGCAGACAAAUAGAUGAAUCACAGGCUCACCGUAUUGGUUCCAAAACAUGGAAUGUUGGUGACUCGUUUGUCGAGGAAGAUGGUUUGGUGUUGAAAUGCGUUGCGAUAAAGUCCGAAAUUGGAAUUGCGCAUAGAAUCGAAGCCUAAACCUCCUCCAACAUCCGUGAAUUUUCGCAGCGAAUCGAAGCCGAAGCCUCCUCCAAGAUCCGUUCUGAAUUGGACUUGGGAUGGAAGGUUCAGAAGUUUUCGUGAGAUUGAUGAGUUGAGUGAAGGAGAUUUGAAGAAUCGAUUGGAUAAUGGAGAGUGAAUGUUACAGAAUAAUGAUCAAUCCCUCUCAAUCACAAUAAGCUUGACGUUUUGGUUCAAGGAGAAGCUCCGGAGCCUAAUCCUGGAGGCAGUGGCUGAUAACUCUGUAUGGUCAAUGGCAGGCUGAUGGUUGUUAUUAUACCGACAUGAUCGAGUCCACAACAAGUCUCAGCUAUUGUCCUUGAUAGGUUCAUUAAUGCAGGGAGGUAGUGAAUAGUUAUGGCGCAGGGUAAAGAGAAAAUCUUAAGCUGGUGCUCCAGGUUGAAUUUGGAAGAUUGAAUGUGUUAGGACUGUGCUUUGGAAUUGUGCGACUAGGCUUCUAUGGAAUGCUAUUGUGAAUCAUACGCUUGGAACGGAUUGCUAUGCUUAAAUUGUGUGUUGGUUGAAAUUAUAAUUUUUUGUAAUUCUUGGAUUGAAAUAUUGUAUUUAAUGGUUUAUGUAAUGAUAAUUUGAAUGUAAGGUAUUAGGAUUGGACACGUGGGACUUCAAUGCUGUAUGUAAUCGAAUCAAAUGAUGGAAUGGAAAUGUAAUGGGAUGAAAUUGAAUUGAAUAUAUGAAGUUUGGAUGCA